This is a long non-coding RNA of Paramormyrops kingsleyae, 2091 nucleotides long. RefSeq lists it as uncharacterized. NCBI's taxonomy places the organism in Eukaryota, Metazoa, Chordata, Actinopteri, Osteoglossiformes, Mormyridae. The record is from RefSeq and is a predicted model, not a curated record.
AGCUGCUGAAAGUUCGUAAGUUCACGCAUUAUACGGGAAUGAAGCGCUUCAGGUGCUGGACAGGGUUUUGCCAGGAAGUCCGGUUAUGUUGAGGGCCAUCGCCAAGACUUCUGAAGCAGUGCAGAAACAAUGCCGCUGAUUUUUCUGACGAGGGGCCUAAGGUGAUAGAGAUCUGCCCUGUAACAGUGUUGCCUGAGAAGGACGGAGGUUGUGGGCCAUUGCCGUGCGUCUGCGAAGCUACUGUCACCCUGCCGUGCUACACUGACAUGCCACUUCAGAGGGCUGGGAGGGGGGCGGUUCCCUGCAGAGAUGCAAAGGAAGCCGCAGCUCCGCAGCAGGAGUCGUCCGCUGGCGGAACGUUGCUCUUCUCUCGCUCACUUUCUUUCAUUUGUGGUUCUGGGGGUCGAACUAUCAUAUUGUGCUUUAGGGGAAAACAAAGGAACCAUCACUGUGCUUUGGCCUGCUGGUCACGCAGCUCCGGCUUCGUGUUUUUAUUUAUUUUUUGCUGAAUGAACCAUUGUUCAGUAAUGCCAACAGUCAUGAGUGGCGCCUUAAUAUGUUGUUAAAAUAUUGUAAAUACCUUCUUUUGUGCUUCUGUGCUGGUCUCUUCUGAAAGGCCAUAGUUACUCUCCAUCUGUGGUUUAUUCUGGAGCUGAUCUUGGCACGUCGUGAGAUUCAGUGUCAAAUAAUGUGGCCUAAAAGUAAAUAAAACAUGCAGCAGUGACGUUCGCCUCGCCUGCUCCCAGACGGUCCCCCUUUGCUCAUUGCGCCGCAGGGAGUGAUAAGAGAUUUAAGGUGCUCCAUUUCAUGGGUGAUGUGCCUUUAAAUGCGAACGGCACAGGCCUUGGUCAGCUAGUGUCUGCGAGUGAACUUCCGCAGUGCCGUGGUCCAUGAAGCUAAUCCCAGAGACACUGAGGCCUGUGAGAUAAAGCCUGCUUGGCCUUAAAUAGGCUGAGGAUUUGAGUCUGUUUCAUCAGGUGUAUUUUUAAUUUUAUAUAAAGUUCAAUGCUUUUUUUUUUUUUUUACUGAAUGCUUACUGGUAUGUCUGUGUGUUUGUCUUAGUGUCUCUAUGUAUUGUCUGUUUCUUGAGUACAGUGUUUUAUGCUCUAUUCUGUUGAAGAGCUGUAUGUUUUGCUUGUAAUCCCAGUGCGUGCUGCUGUGACGUCUCCCCGGCACGUAAACCCUUCAUAUAAUCUUGGCAUAACUUAGGCUGUAAAUGGGUGACUUGACUCUGGUUGUCUUGUUCCUCUGGACCGCACUGGUGGGCGUUUCCUGCCACACAGCAGAUAAAAAGUGUGAAUCCUGAGCACUUCUCAGCUGGCCACCACCGCCACAUUAGAGAGAAGUUGUGUCUGAGGUGUCUGCCGUUCCUCUGACCGCCGCACAUAGCCGUCCGAGGCAGCAGGAGGCAGCUGAAUGAUAGGAAAGGCUUUGACACUCUUCCCCCCAGAGAUCUGCUUGUUCUUUCUGCUAACUAAUGUGUGGGGGGCCGUGGGAAAGCUUCACUUCACGGAUGCUGUCCUGAGCUCUGUCGUGUGUCUGUGAAGAUGCAGAGGUGACAUGGAAUGCUUGUUUCACCUACGUCGGUGCAGACCUGAAAGGUACACGUUCCUGCUUUCUCUGAAUGGUACACGUUCCCGCUUUCCCUGAAUGGUACACGUUCCUGCUUUCCCUGAAUGGUACACUUUCCUGCUUUCCCUGAAUGGUACACUUUCCCGCUUUCCCUGAAUGGUACACGUUCCCGCUUUCCCUGAAUGGUACACGUUCCCGCUAUCCCUGAAUGGUACACGUUCCCGCUUUCCCUGAAUGGUACACAUUCCCGCUUUCCCUGAAUGGUACACUUUCCCACUUUCCCUGAAUGGUACACUUUCCCGCUUUCCCUGAAUGGUACACGUUCCUGCUUCCCCUGAAUGUACACUGCAGUCAGCUGUACUUCCUGCCCCUCCUGCCCAUGUGUAGCGCUGGGCCCGGAGCUCCCCUUCCACUCUUGCACCGGCAUCCUGUGGUCUUUCCUUUAUUAGACCGCAAACUGACACAGAGCCCAACACUGGUAUGAGUGCAACUGUGUGGGUGUGAGUGAGGAGGAGGAAG